CCCACAUGCGAUGGGGAAACUGGGC
This 25-nucleotide non-coding RNA is filed under the name Mus musculus (house mouse). The record is from RNAcentral. Lineage: Eukaryota; Metazoa; Chordata; Mammalia; Rodentia; Muridae.